This 430-nucleotide ribosomal RNA is filed under the name uncultured bacterium. RNAcentral describes it as "bacterial SSU rRNA". It matches the Rfam family "Bacterial small subunit ribosomal RNA", at positions 28 to 447 of the family's 1533-position model. The record is from RNAcentral.
AAUCAACGCUGGCGGCGUGCCUAACACAUGCAAGUCGAACGCGAGAGGGGCUUCGGCCCUGAUUGAGUGGCAAACGGGUGAGUAACGCGUGGGUGACCUACCUUCGAGUGGGGGAUAACGUUUCGAAAGGAACGCUAAUACCGCAUGACAUCCUGCCUUUGGACAGGCGGAGAUCAAAGCCGGGGAUCGCAAGACCUGGCGCUUGGAGAGGGGCCCGCGUCCGAUUAGCAGUUGGUGGGGUAACGGCUCACCAAGGCUUCGAUCGGUAGCCGGCCUGAGAGGGCGGACGGCCACACUGGGACUGAGACACGGCCCAGACUCCUACGGGAGGCAGCAGUGGGGAAUUGUUCGCAAUGGGCGCAAGCCUGACGACGCAACGCCGCGUGGAGGAUGAAGGUCUUCGGAUUGUAAACUCCUGUUGAUCGGGACG